GCCAGACACAGUGAUAAGUGCCUGUAGUCCCAACUACUUCAGAAGGUGAGGUGGGAGGAUUGCUUGGGCACAGGAGUUUGGGGCUAUAAUGUGCUAUGCUGAUGAGGUGUUUGCACUAAGUUCAGCAUCAAGCCAGGCACAAUGGUAUGCGCCUAUAGUUCCAGCACUUUGGGAGGCUGAGGCAGGUGGCUCGCUUGAGCUCAGGAGUUGGAGACCAUGGGGAGCAGUGAAUUGGCCUAAGUAAGAAAAAGAGCAGGUCAAAGCUCCCAUGCUGAUGCGUAGUAGGCUAACACUUGGGAAGCCACUGUGUUCCACCCUGGGCAACAUAGCAAGACCUCAUUUCU
RNAcentral lists this signal recognition particle RNA (344 nucleotides) under Saimiri boliviensis boliviensis (Bolivian squirrel monkey). RNAcentral describes it as "Metazoan signal recognition particle RNA (ENSSBOG00000005812.1)". It matches the Rfam family "Metazoan signal recognition particle RNA". Rfam says of the family: The signal recognition particle (SRP) is a universally conserved ribonucleoprotein. It is involved in the co-translational targeting of proteins to membranes. Lineage: Eukaryota; Metazoa; Chordata; Mammalia; Primates; Cebidae. The record is from RNAcentral.